Molecule: non-coding RNA, 74 nt
Organism: Ameiurus melas (black bullhead)
Lineage: Eukaryota; Metazoa; Chordata; Actinopteri; Siluriformes; Ictaluridae
Source: the annotation of a GenBank genome assembly
GGCACCAUGGCUUAGUUGGUUAAUGUGCCUGUCUUGUACAAAGGACAUCCUAGAUUUGAAUCCCUGCAGUGCUU